GAGUUUCCCUUAUACGUCCUAGGCGUCGCAAUCAAUACCAUACAAGGGUUACAACCAGGAACAGUAUUCAACAAUCAGAUUGCAUAAGGAAGUAUCAAAAAUAUAAAACUACUUGCUAUUACAAGCAUUCACAUUCAAACAUUUUUACAUUACAUUCAACUCCCAAAUGCAAUUAAGUUAUUACAAUUUACUACCAGUUUAUUACAACUUUUACUUUUCCUUCCCUCUACCCCAA
RNAcentral lists this long non-coding RNA (235 nucleotides) under Ananas comosus (pineapple). RNAcentral describes it as "long non-coding RNA (ACOM_LNC038910)". The record is from RNAcentral. Lineage: Eukaryota; Viridiplantae; Streptophyta; Magnoliopsida; Poales; Bromeliaceae.